RNAcentral lists this ribosomal RNA (305 nucleotides) under uncultured bacterium. RNAcentral's name for it is "bacterial SSU rRNA". It matches the Rfam family "Bacterial small subunit ribosomal RNA", at positions 333 to 637 of the family's 1533-position model. The record is from RNAcentral.
UCAGCCUACGGGACGCAGCAGUGAGGAAUAUUGGUCAAUGGGCGGGAGCCUGAACCAGCCAAGCCGCGUGAGGGAAGAAGGUACAGCGUAUCGUAAACCUCUUUUGUCAGGGAACAAAGGCGGGGACUAGUCCCCGGAUGAGGGUACCUGAAGAAAAAGCAUCGGCUAACUCCGUGCCAGCAGCCGCGGUAAUACGGAGGAUGCGAGCGUUAUCCGGAUUUAUUGGGUUUAAAGGGUGCGUAGGCGGGCUGUUAAGUCAGCGGUCAAAUGUCGGGGCUCAACCCCGGCCUGCCGUUGAAACUGGG